CCGCUUUCUCCACCAAGCGGCGGCGUUCACCGUUUGCUUGUUGAAGCAGGUGAUAGCUUCCUAUGGAAACGUCCUAUAUCAUUAUCACAACACAGCAGUGGGAGAAGAUGAUCUGCAGGCUCCUGCUGCUCUUCGUCCUCACCUCGUGUGUCUCUGCAGGAUCAUUUGUAGUGAAUGUGACACAGACCUCCUAUCAGGCCCAGGAGAACCACAGCAUCACUGGAGUGGACCUUCACAGCAGAGACUGACAGAUCCUACAAAUAUCUGAACAUCUACUGUGACCUGAUAACUGAUGAUGGACUCUUCCUCCUGUAUCGUGUACAUGAUGGUGCUGAGGUCUCAGAGUCUCAGGAUGAGAAGUUUUCAGGGCGAGUCCAGAGUGACAAAGACGCCCUCAGAGAAGGACGAAUCAGACUUCAGCUGUCCAGACUCAGGACUGAUGACUCAGGCCCAUACAGGUGC
Archocentrus centrarchus (flier cichlid) is the source of this 462-nucleotide long non-coding RNA. RefSeq lists it as uncharacterized. The record is from RefSeq and is a predicted model, not a curated record. Lineage: Eukaryota; Metazoa; Chordata; Actinopteri; Cichliformes; Cichlidae. The transcript is spliced from 3 exons.